UGUGAGUCAGUCAUCUUGCCCCAUAAAAAUGAGCAGCUCCCCAUGUCUGUUGAGAUCCUCUCUGUGGUGGUGGAUUGUUUGACAGGAGCUUCCCUUAAGCAGUCAAUGGAUGCAGGUGGUUUUGAAGGACUGCAUUUCAAAGAGAAGCUGGUAAAGAAUCAAUAUCAUUUUAAAUGUCUUUUGAGGUUCUGUGACUUACGGGUUAAGCUUCAUAUUGGACAGUAGCGCAGUAAGUUUGCAGAAAGAAGAUUGGUACGUAACAAGUCUUUCAGGCCUUGUGUACAUUGUAAAUGGAAAGUAUUUUUCUGUCAGUAUAAGAGGAAGACUUUUAUUCCACUAGAAAACGUUGGGGAAGACUUACAGAGAGGAAUUGUAGCACAUCAUCUCUUACAUCAGUUGGAGAAUGAUUUCAGAAGCAGGAUAACAAAGGAGGAGAAUACAGAAACGAGAGAAGAUAUAAGGAGUAGGCUGAAGGAGAUCUCAUAUAUCCAGAAGACAGCAAAAUAGAUGGUAUUUGACUCCACUGAAAUAAAGGCAUUUGUUAUCCUAUGCACAGCGAAGGCCAGAAAGGCCAUUCUUUUACUGGGUUGUUUAGUCCUACAUUUUAUUUGACUGUUCCUCAUUUUCAUUCUUUCUCCAAUAGCUUUUAUUUCUUCAUUUUUUUUUUUCCCCUCUCAGAAAUCCCUGCAGGACUCUGUUAACUAGAACAUAAUGUCAUUGGCCAGGUUGAAAACAUUAUUUCUUACAUAACGUGAUAUAUUGUUUGUUUUCAAAUAUAUUUCUUACCACUACUUUUCAAUGAACCCUCCAUAAAUCCAGCUGAGGGCAGGCAAGAUCCAUGUAGCUCUGAUAAGAAGGGUAAACCUAAUUUACUAAAGAUUCAUGAGUUGUUUCCUCAAACCCUGCCAGCUAUAAUGCCCAAGCAUAGCAUAUCUGAUAGAAUUACUCUGAAUGCAAAAUAGUGUCUCUACUGCAACUGAAUUUGAGAAAUAUCAUCGCUAAUCUCACAAGAAAUAGUAACACUGCCUCUUAAUUUACAAUAAAUAUACAUUUUAGUUUAUGAGUCUAAAAUUAACUGUAAUGACAGUUUAAUUUUUUCAAAGAUGACAUUGUACUCCAGCCUUGUAUGCUCUGUAUGCAUUUACAUACAACAUAAUGCAUUUCUUGCAUGCUCUAAACAGACUGCAUGUGAAGCAGAUAAGAUUUGAAUAAAAUUGGGAGCACUGAUACUGCUCCACUGGA
Molecule: long non-coding RNA, 1242 nt
Organism: Numida meleagris (helmeted guineafowl)
Lineage: Eukaryota; Metazoa; Chordata; Aves; Galliformes; Numididae
Exons: 6
Source: RefSeq, a predicted model, not a curated record